Molecule: ribosomal RNA, 568 nt
Filed under: Pseudomonas chlororaphis
Lineage: Bacteria; Pseudomonadati; Pseudomonadota; Gammaproteobacteria; Pseudomonadales; Pseudomonadaceae
Description: bacterial SSU rRNA
Rfam family: Bacterial small subunit ribosomal RNA
Source: RNAcentral
GCCUAACACAUGCAAGUCGAGCGGUAGAGAGAACCUUGCUUCUCUUGCGAGUGGCGGACGGGUGAGUAAUGCCUAGGAAUCUGCCUGGUAGUGGGGGAUAACUUUCGGAAACGGACGCUAAUACCGCAUACGUCCUACGGGAGAAAGCAGGGGACCUUCGGGCCUUGCGCUAUCAGAUGAGCCUAGGUCGGAUUAGCUAGUUGGUGAGGUAAUGGCUCACCAAGGCGACGAUCCGUAACUGGUCUGAGAGGAUGAUCAGCCACACUGGAACUGAGACACGGCCCAGACUCCUACGGGAGGCAGCAGUGGGGAAUUUUGGACAAUGGGCGAAAGCCUGAUCCAGCCAUGCCGCGUGUGUGAAGAAGGUCUUCGGAUUGUAAAGCACUUUAGGUUGGAAGGAAGGGUACUUACCUAAUACCUGAGUAUUUUGACGUUACCGACAGAAUAAGCACCGGCUAACUCUGUGCCAGCAGCCGCGGUAAUACAGAGGGUGCAAGCGUUAAUCGGAAUUACUGGGCGUAAAGCGCGCGUAGGUGGUUCGUUAAGUUGGAUGUGAAAUCCCCGGGUU